Molecule: long non-coding RNA, 356 nt
Organism: Lycium ferocissimum
Lineage: Eukaryota; Viridiplantae; Streptophyta; Magnoliopsida; Solanales; Solanaceae
Exons: 3
Source: RefSeq, a predicted model, not a curated record
GAAAUAUAACAAACGUACACAACAUAAUUCUCCCUUUGAUCAGCAACAUGAAAUUUCAUUAGACCAAAGAAUAAUUCUCGUAGAAAACAAUAUACGAGUUUUGUGCACCGCUUCAUCUCAUGUUCCAUUUUAUCGCGUUGUUGAAUCCGGGAUUUCUUCGAAGGAAAGUAAGGUGGAAGAAGAUCAUUUCUUUGCAUAUAAGGUUGAAGUUAUAAUUGAGGCGAGUUCGUUAUUGAGUGCGUACUGACGACAAGAGGUUUUGAAAUACAGGUUUGUGAUCCAUCUAUUAGGAUGUCACCUCAGCGGAUAAGGUUAAUGCACUCCAUUUGUUCCGAAGAUGCCAGGAGUCAGCAUGG